This is a long non-coding RNA of Lutra lutra (Eurasian river otter), 479 nucleotides long. RefSeq lists it as uncharacterized. The transcript is spliced from 3 exons. Lineage: Eukaryota; Metazoa; Chordata; Mammalia; Carnivora; Mustelidae. The record is from RefSeq and is a predicted model, not a curated record.
GUCUUCCUUUGACAAUGGCGAUGGUGACGCACCCAUGAGAAGUUGGGAGCCGGUUCUUAUGCCUCUGGACUUCUCCCAGGUUUCUGGGGCCCCUGGAGUCCAAAGAGCCUGUUGGGUUCAAGCUUGGCUGCAGGACCACCCCACAGGACUCCAGUCCCUACAGGAAGCAUCAGCUGGCUUAGAGGCCAGUUGUGAGUGAAACUUUCAAUCCAGGAACAAACAGACCCUCUCUCCCGCAAAGCUGGUUUUUGGUCAGGAACAGUUUGAGAGCAGAGAAAGAGAUGGAUCUCUGGCAGAAAGAAGGCAGCCAGCCACCUGUCCCAAGCCUGCAAUUCCCAGUCUGAGGAAUCUUGCACCCAGAAGGCUAAGGUCUGUGCCUUCUGAACUACAACAUUUCCACCUCCAUUCCUCCUCCACACAUGAAACCUGAGGAAAUUCUCGAAAGGAAUCGAUGAAGAGGAAGCAGAAAUGGAGCCGAC